This 514-nucleotide ribosomal RNA is filed under the name uncultured marine bacterium. Its description in RNAcentral is "bacterial SSU rRNA". It matches the Rfam family "Bacterial small subunit ribosomal RNA", at positions 97 to 596 of the family's 1533-position model. The record is from RNAcentral.
GGCGGAGGGUGGAUUAACACUUGGGCAACUUGCUUGUAAGACUGGGUUACCUUCGGAAAACCGAAGCUAUUACCGGAUAGGUUCUUCUCCUUCAUGGGAGAUGAUUGAAAGAUGGUUUCGGCUAUCUCUUACAGAUGGGCCCGCGGUGCAUUAGCUAGUUGGUGAGGUAACGUCUCACCAAGGCAACGAUGCAUAGCCGACCUGAGAGGGGGAUCGGCCACACUGGGACUGAGACACGGCCCAGACUCCUACGGGAGGCAGCAGUAGGGAAUCUUCCGCAAUGGACGAAAGUCUGACGGAGCCACGCCGCGUGAGUGAUGAAGUUUUUCGGGUCGUAAAACUCUGUUGUUAGGGAAGAACAAGCACGAGAGUAACUGCUCGUACCUUGACGGUACCUAACCAGAAAGCCACGGCUAACUACGUGCCAGCAGCCGCGGUAAUACGUAGGUGGCAAGCGUUAUCCAGAAUUAUUGGGCGUAAAGCGCGCGCAGGCCGUUUUCUUAAGUCUGAUGUG